CCCUGCUCUGGUUGGUAAAUAAUUGACAAAAAAGAUGGAGGGGGUGAAAUAACUUCAAUAUUUGACUAACCACUUAACAAAUAGAGUUGAAACUUGCUAUGCAAACGUAAAUAUAAAACAGGCAAUGAACUCAUUCAACCUAGAUCGUCUUUUAACACCAAAAAUGCAAUUUUAGCUGAAAAAAAUACAAGGCCAUUCUCCAUGGAAGUCGCCAUUUUGUUUACUG
Molecule: long non-coding RNA, 226 nt
Filed under: Mytilus galloprovincialis (Mediterranean mussel)
Lineage: Eukaryota; Metazoa; Mollusca; Bivalvia; Mytilida; Mytilidae
Source: RNAcentral